CAAUCGAACCCGGAGAUAGCUGGUUCUCCUCGAAAUAGCUUUAGGGCUAGCCUCGCAUUAGUUUACCGGAGGUAGAGCACUGAAUGGUCUAGGGGGCCUCACCGCCUACCGAAACCUAUCAAACUGCGAAUGCCGGAUAAAUGAUGUGCGGGAGUCAGGCCGCGAGAGAUAAGUUCCGCGGUCAAAAGGGGAACACCCCAGAUCGUCUGCUAAGGUCCCCAAGUACGCGUUAAGUGGGAAAGGAUGUUGGAUUGCACAGACAACCAGGAUGUUGGCUUAGAAGCAGCCACACAUUCAAAGAGUGCGUAAUAGCUCACUGGUCGAGUGAUCCAGCGCCGAAAAUGUAACGGGGCUAAAACGCGACACCGAAGCAGCGGGAUGCGUAAGCAUCGGUAGAGGAGCAUUGUGUGAGGGUUGAAGCCAGAGCGAGAGCACUGGUGGACUUCACAGAAGAGAGAAUGCCGGUAUGAGUAGCGAGACCCAUGCGAGAAACAUGGGCGUCGAAGGCCCAAGGUUUCCUGGGGAAGGUUCAUCCACCCAGGGUAAGUCGGGACCUAAGCCGAGGACUGAGGUCGUAGGCGAUGGACAGCAGGUAGAGAUUCCUGCACCACUUACACUUGUUUGACGAAGCAGUGACACAGAAGGAUAGGACGAGCGCGGUGAUGGUCAACCGCGUAGGCGGCACGAGGCCGGGAAGCAGUGAAGUACACUUCCCGCAAAGGCUGAGUGUUGACAGGACCGAAAAGAAGUAGGGAAGCGUCCGAGUUCACGCUGGCGAGAAAAGCUGCUAAGGAGAGUGUGAGUGCCCGUACCGGAAACCGACGCAGGUGGGCGAGGAGAGAAUCCUGAGACGGACGGGAGAACUCUUGUUAAGGAACUCGGCAAAAUGACCCCGUAACUUCGGGAGAAGGGGUGCCUCGAAAGAGGCCGCAGAGAAUAGUCACAAGCGACUGUUUAGCAAAAACACAGGUAUCUGCGAAAGCGAGAGCUGACGUAUAGGUGCUGACGCCUGCCCGGUGCUGGAAGGUUAAGGGGAAGUGUUAGGGGAAACCCGAAGCAGAGAACCGAAGCCCCAGUAAACGGCGGCCGUAACUAUAACGGUCCUAAGGGAGCGAAAUUCCUUGUCGGGUAAGUUCCGACCCGCACGAAUGGUGUAACGACUUGUGAGCUGUCUCAACAGGGGGCCCGGUGAAAUUGAAGUAUGGGUGAAGAUGCCCAUUACCCGCGACUGGACGGAAAGACCCCGUAGAGCUUUACUGCAGCCUGAUAUUGAGUUUCGGUAACUGAUGCACAGGAUAGGUGGGAGUCUGAGAGACACGGGUUUCGGCUCGUGUGGAGACGAUGUUGGGAUACCACUCUUCGGUUACUGAAAUUCUAACAUAGCUCUGUGAAACCAGAGGAUGGACAGUGUCAGGUGGACAGUUUGACUGGGGCGGUCGCCUCCGAAAGAGUAACGGAGGCGCCCAA
Molecule: ribosomal RNA, 1467 nt
Filed under: human gut metagenome
Description: bacterial LSU rRNA
Rfam family: Bacterial large subunit ribosomal RNA
Source: RNAcentral